This 519-nucleotide ribosomal RNA is filed under the name uncultured eukaryote. Its description in RNAcentral is "SSU rRNA". It matches the Rfam family "Eukaryotic small subunit ribosomal RNA", at positions 1161 to 1707 of the family's 1831-position model. The record is from RNAcentral.
AGGGCACCACCAGGAGUGGAGCCUGCGGCUUAAUUUGACUCAACACGGGAAAACUUACCUGGUCCUGACACUAGAAGGAUUGACAGAUUGAUAGCUCUUUCUUGAUUUGGUGGAUGGUGGUGCAUGGCCGUUCUUAGUUGGUGGAGUGAUUUGUCUGGUUAAUUCCGAUAACGAACGAGACUCUAGCCUAUUAAAUAACACACAGAAUCGUGCCUUCUGUGGCGUUUCUUAAUGGGAUCAAGUGUGUUUAACGCUUUGAAACAGAGCAAUAACAGGUCUGUGAUGCCCUUAGAUGUUCGGGGCUGCACGCGCGCUACAUUGAAAGACAAAAUGAGCCCUCUAGUCUUUAAUAAGGCUAGUAAUCUUUGAAUGUUUUUCUUAAUGGGGAUAGGGGAUUGCAAUUGUGCCCCUUGAACGAGGAAUUCCCAGUAAGUGCUAAUCAUUAGUUAGUACUGAUUACGUCCCUGCCCUUUGUACACACCGCCCGUCGCUACUACCGAUUGAAUGGUUUAGUGAGAU